Spirochaetes bacterium RBG_16_67_19 is the source of this 74-nucleotide non-coding RNA. NCBI's taxonomy places the organism in Bacteria, Pseudomonadati, Spirochaetota. The record is from Rfam.
GGGGGCGUAGCUCAGUUGGCUAGAGCGCCUGAAUGGCAUUCAGGAGGUCGUGGGUUCGAUUCCCGUCGCCUCCA